This 355-nucleotide ribosomal RNA is filed under the name uncultured bacterium. RNAcentral describes it as "bacterial SSU rRNA". It matches the Rfam family "Bacterial small subunit ribosomal RNA", at positions 373 to 725 of the family's 1533-position model. The record is from RNAcentral.
GGAGGCAACUCUGACCCAGCCAUGCCGCGUGCAGGAAGACGGCCCUAUGGGUUGUAAACUGCUUUUAUACAGGAAGAAACCCUCCCACGUGUGGAGGGCUGACGGUACUGUACGAAUAAGGACCGGCUAACUCCGUGCCAGCAGCCGCGGUAAUACGGAGGGUCCAAGCGUUAUCCGGAAUCAUUGGGUUUAAAGGGUCCGUAGGCGGGCAAUUAAGUCAGAGGUGAAAUCCCACAGCUCAACUGUGGAACUGCCUUUGAUACUGGUUGUCUUGAGUUAUAGUGAAGUGGAUAGAAUAUGUAGUGUAGCGGUGAAAUGCAUAGAUAUUACAUAGAAUACCGAUUGCGAAGGCAGA